CAGGGUGUUACGGUACAGAGUCAAUGUGGAGGCUAUAUACAGGGUGUUACGGUACAGAGUCAAUGUGGAGGCUAUAUACAGGGUGUUACGGUACAGAGUCAAUGUGGAGGCUAUAUACAGGGGGUACCGGUACAGAGUCAAUGUGGAGGCUAUAUACAGGGUGUUACGGUACAGAGUCAAUGUGGAGGCUAUAUACAGGGUGUUACGGUACAGAGUCAAUGUGGAGGCUAUAUACAGGGGGUACCGGUACAGAGUCAAUGUGGAGGCUAUAUACAGGGUGUUACGGCACAGAGUCAAUGUGGAGGCUAUAUACAGGGUGUUACGGUACAGACUCAAUGUGGAGGCUAUAUACAGGGUGUUACGGUACAGAGUCAAUGUGGAGGCUAUAUACAGGGGGUACCGGUACAGAGUCAAUGUGGAGGCUAUAUACAGGGUGUUACGGUACAGAGUCAAUGUGGAGGCUAUAUACAGGGUGUUACGGUACAGAGUCAAUGUGGAGGCUAUAUACAGGGGGUACCGGUACAGAGUCAAUGUGGAGGCUAUAUACAGGGUGUUACGGUACAGAGUCAAUGUGGAGGCUAUAUACAGGGUGUUACGGUACAG
This is a long non-coding RNA of Oncorhynchus keta (chum salmon), 603 nucleotides long. RefSeq lists it as uncharacterized. The transcript has 4 exons. The record is from RefSeq and is a predicted model, not a curated record. NCBI's taxonomy places the organism in Eukaryota, Metazoa, Chordata, Actinopteri, Salmoniformes, Salmonidae.